Struthio camelus australis is the source of this 1575-nucleotide long non-coding RNA. NCBI's taxonomy places the organism in Eukaryota, Metazoa, Chordata, Aves, Struthioniformes, Struthionidae. The record is from Ensembl.
CGAUAGGAAGCCAGUUGGAGGGAGGAAGAUAUUGACAGAGGGAUGGAAAGAGUACCAGAGGGAUGGGGAACUGGGCAGGGCAAUGAGUAGCUAAACAAAGGGACGGGGUAUCGGACAGAGCUACGGGGAAAGAAAGAAAAAGAUGGAGCGCUGGACAGAGGGACAGCGAGUGGAACCAGAUGGAUCCAGACAGCCCGGAACAGCCCUCAACACGCUCCAGUUCCACUCACCUGCUGAGCUGCAGAGCUCUCUGUGUACCGCUGGGCCCAAAGUCCACUUGGGCACUGCUGUGUGGAGGACCCGCAGCCACACCGAAAGGCACGUGGAGGCCACUUGUGGGCCUGCUUGCCUGUAUCCCUAUACCUCCAGAGUGUCUGUGUCUGCAAGAGCGAGGGUGCACCCACGGGCCCACUAUUCCCCUCUCUCCUUGGCUGGUCCAUGAAUUGUGGCUUAUUACUCACAAGUCCAGUGAGGAUGCAGCCAACCUUCCUACAGCUGAAGUUCUUCCGCAGGACCAGGCACAGAACCUUUCCACUGGCAUCUGGAUUCUCCUAGCUGCUCUUGACAUGCAAUAACUUACAAAGGUCUGAGGGUGGUACCCCGUAGUUCUUUACGGCAGCAUAUAGUCGUUCCCCAAUGUUCUGAAUGCCUAGGAUUAACACAAUUUAUAAACACAAAAAUACUGCCACUAUAGGGUGUAAAGUCAAGCUAAAAUUUCUGCAACCAAAGAAAACCUCUCCGUGUCUGACAGAAGGAGCCAUAUGCAUAAGCACCUAUAGCUCAAGGCUAGCAACCCUCUUCUGGCAGGCUGCAUGUCUGAACUCCUCCGUCUUGCCUAAAAGGCAUGGUAAAAUCCAUUGCCCUCCAAAAGUAUAAAGCAAAGUGAAAAAAAAUCAAAGCUCUGCAGAAAAUCAUAAGAAACCAAACUUGUUUAUAAGCACAAAAGCAGGUCUAAUACACACACAAGCAAGGUAAAUGAUAAGAUGUAAGCCACAAAUACUGCUUCCCCCCAACCCCCCUUUUGGAAGCUAUGACAACAUUUGGGUUGCUGUGAAAGGGAAGUUGGACUAAGUAACCACUAGCGCUUAAUCUUUCAGAAGCCUUCUGUGUCCACAUUUUUGGCACAACCACACUCUGCCCCUCAUUCAAUUCAGAUGCACAGAAGAUGAUCCGCUUCUUGGAACACUUGCACAGUAACUCCCCCUUGUUAAGAUCAGUGCCCACUGUGCCACUUGGAUAGAGGAUACUCCGCUGCCUAUUCAUUUCCCUGACAUGAGCUAGUUUAGAGGGAACUGAGCAGAUUGGAUUGCAUCUUAAAAGUCCCAAAGACACCUACAGCCCAGAUUGCUGCUAAACAGACUUUCUCACAGCCAGAGAGUUUCUGUUCUGGCCCCAAAGGGGAUGUAAGGAUGAUGCUACUGGCACCCACUUUCCCUUACCACUGUUUUCUAAUGGUGCUGCUCCCAUGGAAGCAGCAGAUGUGGAAAGCAGUACUGAAAAAGGCUUUCCUUUUACAGCUACUUCUUUCAGUUGAGUGAAAGUAGCAUCAUGUUCCUUGUUUCAGCUCCAUUCCCA